UACGUAGGGUCCGAGCGUUGUCCGGAAUUAUUGGGCGUAAAGGGCUCGUAGGCGGUCUGUUGCGUCGGGAGUGAAAUCUUACAGCUUAACUGUGAACUUGCUUUCGAUACGGGCAGACUUGAGGCAUUCAGGGGAGAACGGAAUUCCUGGUGUAGCGGUGAAAUGCGCAGAUAUCAGGAGGAACACCGUAGCGAAGGCGGGUCUCUGGCGAACUACUGA
Molecule: ribosomal RNA, 219 nt
Filed under: uncultured bacterium
Lineage: Bacteria
Description: partial 16S ribosomal RNA
Rfam family: Bacterial small subunit ribosomal RNA
Source: RNAcentral